RNAcentral lists this ribosomal RNA (367 nucleotides) under uncultured Thermus sp. Its description in RNAcentral is "bacterial SSU rRNA". It matches the Rfam family "Bacterial small subunit ribosomal RNA", at positions 1014 to 1382 of the family's 1533-position model. The record is from RNAcentral. Lineage: Bacteria; Thermotogati; Deinococcota; Deinococci; Thermales; Thermaceae.
GGGGUAGGCCCCUAAGCGACAGGUGCGUGCAUGGUCGUCGUCAGCUCGUGCCGUGAGGUGUUGGGUUAAGUCCCGCAACGAGCGCAACCCCGCCGUUAGUUGCCAGCGGUUCGGCCGGGCACUCUAACGGGGACUGCCCGCGAAAGCGGGAGGAAGGAGGGGACGACGUCUGGUCAGCAUGGCCCUUACGGCCUGGGCGACACACGUGCUACAAUGCCCACUACAAAGCGAUGCCACCCGGCAACGGGGAGCUAAUCGCAAAAAGGUGGGCCCAGUUCGGAUUGGGGUCUGCAACCCGACCCCAUGAAGCCGGAAUCGCUAGUAAUCGCGGAUCAGCCAUGCCGCGGUGAAUACGUUCCCGGGCCUU